Molecule: ribosomal RNA, 354 nt
Filed under: uncultured bacterium
Lineage: Bacteria
Description: partial 16S ribosomal RNA
Rfam family: Bacterial small subunit ribosomal RNA
Source: RNAcentral
CCUACGGGGGGCAGCAGUGGGGAAUAUUGCACAAUGGGGGAAACCCUGAUGCAGCGACGCCGCGUGAGUGAAGAAGCGCCUCGGCGCGUAAAGCUCUGUCAGCAGGAACGAUAAUGACGGUACCUGAAGAAGAAGCCCCGGCUAACUACGUGCCAGCAGCCGCGGUAACACGGAGGGGGCAAGCGUUAUCCGGAUUUACUGGGGGUAAAGGGGGCGUAGACGGCGUGGCAAGUCUGGAGUGAAAGGCCGGGGCCCAACCCCGGGACCGCUCUGGAAACGGCACGGCUGGAGUGCGGGAGAGGUAGGCGGAAUGCCGGGUGUAGCGGUGAAAUGCGUAGAUAUUAGGAGGAACAC